ACCACCAUUUUCCCCAAAACUCAGACCAGGUUCAUCAAUCCCAUGUAUGUACGAGGAUAUAUGUGUUUAAUCAUAUUCUCGUACAUACAUACAUUGGUACCACAAGUUAGGCUUUGUUAAUUUUCUUUAGCUUAUACAUAUAUACGUAUUAUAUAUGCAGCUAGCUAGCUAUAAAUAGUAGGCCUCUAUUGCAUCGCCAAGAAACCAAAACAUAGCAAAGGUAAAUCAUUAAGAGAUCAUGUCAGUUGUUACCUGGAGUUCCCCUGAAUACUUCAUUGGGGUAGUUAGUAUCAAGAGUCGAGACCCUUUUUAAUUAAAAAUUAAUUAAGGGUGAGUAGCUCAAGUAUUUUGGUUUUAUCCCACUGAAGUGUUUGGGGGAACUCUGGGUGCCAUCUGGUUGCAGUAGUACUACUUAUACAUUAUUCAUCGUCAACAAGAAUCGAAGAAUUGCAUCAUGCUGCUGGGCUAUACUUCAGCAAUUAUGGGCGAUUUAGAGAAUGAGGGGAACCAAACUGAACAUGACGAGCCAACUAAUUGGUUGGUCAUCAUUUGGCAGUGGCUGUUCUCAUUUCUCUAGUGGUCUCUUCAAGCGUGAAAAGCGCAGAGCUGAGUAGUCAAAACUUCUUGAACUGGCGAGUGCAUCGAUUAAUUUGAGGCAAGCACCAUAGCCAGGCGUAGGCAUAGGAAGUGAAAGUGUGUAGUUUGAGGUAGCUAGCUAAAAUUCAUUUGUAUAUAUGAAUAUGGGACUGAACCACGUAGUUCCUUCAAUAUGCAUGAGUAAUUGUAGAUCGAAUAAACCUAAAAUCCAAUUAGGGUUGAGUUAAUUCGAUCCUCUUAUUGAGUUAUGAACUUAUGAUUAAUACCAACUUCUAUUUUAUUUUUCUA
Long non-coding RNA from Rosa rugosa (rugosa rose), 885 nucleotides. RefSeq lists it as uncharacterized. Lineage: Eukaryota; Viridiplantae; Streptophyta; Magnoliopsida; Rosales; Rosaceae. The record is from RefSeq and is a predicted model, not a curated record. The transcript is spliced from 2 exons.